RNAcentral lists this long non-coding RNA (691 nucleotides) under Mus spicilegus (steppe mouse). RNAcentral describes it as "lncRNA (ENSMSIG00000017396.1)". The record is from RNAcentral. Lineage: Eukaryota; Metazoa; Chordata; Mammalia; Rodentia; Muridae.
GCCAAAUUAGAUUAUUCCUCGUGAUCUGGAUCGACCUAUCUGUGACUGACCUGAGCUCGUGCCUGGAGUGUGUGUGAUUCUGAUUGGAUGAGGUGGUGUGGAGCGAGAUGAGGUCAGUUGCUGCUACUAUAUGAGGAUAGCCCUUGCCCCAAGCAAAAGGAGAAGCUGCUGCGUGAACCCGACUUGGUGUCCCUGUUGUUCUUGUCUCUGCGGGUCGGAGACUGCGGCAAUGCGCUUGUUAAGCUUCCCGAGUCCCUGUAAAGUCAGUCCUUCGGGGAUUUAUGACUGCUUCCUUCCACAGAUGUAACGGAAAAAGCCAUCCGCAGUCAGCCAUCACCUCAACAACCCAAGAUCUUCUUUCCCCAGAGGUUGGGAGGUGGCAGAGUGAAGAGUGGGAGGCAUGCACCUUCGAGUGGUACAUGGACACAGAAGAAGCCAGACUCCCCCUCACAGGAGAUCCACAAGGUAUUUCUCAUGCCCUGGGAGCUGCCCUGAUAUCAAACAAUUGGACAUUUCCCCAUGGACAGUUUUGUUCAAUCAACACAAUCUUCUACCAGCAAGAAUGUCUUAAUACCCCACAGACCAGUUUAAUGAAAGAUGCACAGAGCCAGUUAAUGUGCACGGCUUCACUCACUGUCAUGAUCUGUCUGAUUGUCUAAUGGGAUGCUGUAAAACCCACCCACUUUUUUUC